Molecule: ribosomal RNA, 196 nt
Filed under: Staphylococcus epidermidis
Lineage: Bacteria; Bacillati; Bacillota; Bacilli; Caryophanales; Staphylococcaceae
Description: partial 16S ribosomal RNA
Rfam family: Bacterial small subunit ribosomal RNA
Source: RNAcentral
UUUAUGGAGAGUUUGAUCCUGGCUCAGGAUGAACGCUGGCGGCGUGCCUAAUACAUGCAAGUCGAGCGAACAGACGAGGAGCUUGCUCCUCUGACGUUAGCGGCGGACGGGUGAGUAACACGUGGAUAACCUACCUAUAAGACUGGGAUAACUUCGGGAAACCGGAGCUAAUACCGGAUAAUAUAUUGAACCGCAU